RNAcentral lists this ribosomal RNA (497 nucleotides) under uncultured bacterium. RNAcentral's name for it is "partial 16S ribosomal RNA". It matches the Rfam family "Bacterial small subunit ribosomal RNA", at positions 28 to 507 of the family's 1533-position model. The record is from RNAcentral.
GAUGAACGCUGGCGGCGUGCCUAAUACAUGCAAGUCGAGCGAACAGACGAGGAGCUUGCUCCUCUGACGUUAGCGGCGGACGGGUGAGUAACACGUGGAUAACCUACCUAUAAGACUGGGAUAACUUCGGGAAACCGGAGCUAAUACCGGAUAAUAUAUUGAACCGCAUGGUUCAAUAGUGAAAGACGGUUUUGCUGUCACUUAUAGAUGGAUCCGCGCCGCAUUAGCUAGUUGGUAAGGUAACGGCUUACCAAGGCAACGAUGCGUAGCCGACCUGAGAGGGUGAUCGGCCACACUGGAACUGAGACACGGUCCAGACUACUACGGGAGGCAGCAGUAGGGAAUCUUCCGCAAUGGGCGAAAGCCUGACGGAGCAACGCCGCGUGAGUGAUGAAGGUCUUCGGAUCGUAAAACUCUGUUAUUAGGGAAGAACAAAUGUGUAAGUAACUAUGCACGUCUUGACGGUACCUAAUCAGAAAGCCACGGCUAGCUACGUG